Molecule: non-coding RNA, 163 nt
Organism: Phasianus colchicus (ring-necked pheasant)
Lineage: Eukaryota; Metazoa; Chordata; Aves; Galliformes; Phasianidae
Source: RefSeq, a predicted model, not a curated record
CUCUGCUCACCCACCAGCUGUACGGCAAGUUCUCGGAUGCUGUUGGUGCCGCUACAGAGGAGGAGCGGCUGCUCAGAAUGCAGGCCGUCAUCCAGCAGCUGCCCGCUCCUCACUACAGGACACUGGCGUUCCUGAUGAGACACUUGGCGUGUCUGGCUGGGAG